This is a long non-coding RNA of Cavia porcellus (domestic guinea pig), 12092 nucleotides long. RefSeq lists it as uncharacterized. The transcript is spliced from 4 exons. NCBI's taxonomy places the organism in Eukaryota, Metazoa, Chordata, Mammalia, Rodentia, Caviidae. The record is from RefSeq and is a predicted model, not a curated record.
CGCCAACAGCGCCUUCCUGCCCACAGACUCGCCGACAGGCGCGAGCGUCUAGCACGUCGCUGGGCGGGACUUCCGGCACCUGUGCUCACCUCCCUGCCUUCGCCCCCUUUCUGUCGCAGCUGCACCAGGAUCUUGCUAUGUAGCCCAGUCCGGCCUCGAACUCACAGUGAUCCUCCUGCCUCAGCCUCGGGAGUGCUGGGAUUAAGCAGGCUCCUGUCUGACUGAUGGCAGCAGCUCUUUUAGGGAGGACAUUCGUGCUUCAGGCCUCCUGGCCGCUUUCCCUUUGUCAAUGACCUGGACAGCCCGCAGCAAACCCUCUCGCAAGGCGGUGUUCUUCACCACCCUGGUGAUCAUGAAGGUGGCAUCUCCGACGUACGUGCGUCUGGCUGUGGCGGCGUAGUGGUCUGCCUUGCUGCCGUGCGCCAUGAAGAAGGCGCAGAGCGCGGCCACAUCUCCCUCCUGCAAGCCUCUCUCCUCCAGGACUGAUUCCCAGGCCACUCUGACGCGCUGGUUCUUGACUUUUCGCCGAAGGACAGAGGUGAAGAUUCAUUCUGUGACUUUGGGGAACAUGAACUCAGCGUAUCUGACAUGCAGCAGGUUAGGAGUUACGUAUUUUCCCCAUAUCAUUUUGAAUGUUCCACCAUGAUACUUGGAAGGGUCUCAAUAUGUAGUUUGUGAGGAGCAACUAAAACUGGAGAUGGAUCACCAUGUGUGGGACUAAAUCAAGGCCAGCCCUGAGAACACAGCCCAAAACAAGCCACAUAAACAAGCUGUUUAAGCUCCAAAAAGGUAAGGGACCAGGCCAACCAGGCAAACAAGUUGCUAGGCAGAGGGGUUGAAACUGACAUCAUCCUCUUGAGUGUAGAAAUAAAGGUGCUAUGGUGGUUAUGCAGCAGUUUGUCUCCCAUCAGGAGAGAGGGCUUCACUUGACUCAGAUUCUGACUCCUUUCUUCAUUUUCUCAUCUUUUCACUGUCCUUUCCCUUGGGAACUCAACAGCUGCGCUGAUACACAGCUGUAGUUCACGUUGUUCUUGAAUUCACUUGUGUAGCCAGGUUGGCCUUGAACUAAAGGCAAUCCUUUUGCCUCACCCCCAAGUGCUAGGAUUAGAAGUGUAUACCACCAUACCUAGCCAUUUAUGCUUGUCUUUAAUUUUUUUGGUGCCAGGGAUAGAACUCAUUACCUCGUGCUUGCCAGGCAGGUGCUUAUGCCACUGAGUAAAUCCCCAGCCUCAGUCUUAAUACCUUCUUUUUGUCAAAUGAUGGUAAAUUGGAGAACAUGGGAAGAAAAAAAAAUUUUUUUUUUGUACCAAGAAUUGAACCCAGGACCUCAUGUUUGCCAGACAGGCACGUACACUGCUAUAUCCCCAGCCUGAUUAUGAUGUUUCUUUCAUGUCUGCAGGAGGGACCUGUAUUCUUGUUUUGAGUGUGGACUUAAGUAGCUGCUGAAUUUACUGGUGUUCCUACCUUGACCAGUUUGACUUGUUUGGAUGUUGUGAUUAUUGUCUCAUCUCAGACAGUGCUAGGGAAGAGUUAUGUUAGAACAUUCCCUAGUGGAAUUUGAUACUAACCAAAAUGUGAAUUUGUAAAAUGCUGUAAAAUUUUUUUUAAAUAAAAUCUAGUUCAUGAAAUAUAAAUGCUUCUUACAAAUUCAGGACCUUGGGCUGGGGAUUUAGCUCAGCAGCAUAAAUGCCUGGCAAGCACAAGGUUGUGAGAUCAUGAGUGAGUGAGUUCGAUCCUCCAUACCAUCAAAAAUGAAUAAAUUUAGGACCCCUCCAUUCUCACAAAAGUUGAGGAAAAAAAAUUUUAGGACCCCCUCAGCUGGUUAUUUGCAACGGUGCAAUUGCUUAUCUUAAAUCUAGGACAGGAUUCACUGAUACAUUCUGGUUUGAUCCCCCUCCAUGCUCACAGAAGGGAAUAUCAAGCAUAUUCUGCCUCAGUUUCCUUUUUGGUCUUUCUGCUGCUGAGCAGGCAAUCUUAGCUCUUAUGAUAACAAAUGUAUCAGUGACUUCUUUGCUCUAGGGUCCAGGGUUUUGCCAAGUCACUACUUGCCUCUUUAUCUAGAAGUGUCCUCUUUUGCAUACAGGAAAGUGCUGCAACCACUUCCAAUCUUUUUGCCUCACUUUUCAAAGAACUGGAAGGCAGCUAUUCAGUCUCUUCAUCAUUGGUUUAAUUUUGCUAGCAAUGCUUCCUUCUUUAACAUGGCUGUUAGAGUGGGAACCAGCUGUGGCUUGUGCUUUUGGAAAUACACUUUGGAGUUAGGAAUUUGAGUUUCUAGAGAAGGUAGAGGCAUGCAUCGGGAAGAGUAGAUAGUCCAGCCUGACCUAGCUUCUGGUCACUCUUCAGAUAGCAGUCCCCUACCCUGGAGCAGGGGAUACCUUGAGGGCACAAAAAACCAUGCAGGAAUUAAAAGGAAUGCCUAUUUUUUCCCUUUUUUUCGGGGGGGGGGGAACUCAAUGUCAAAUUCUCUUAUUUCUUUGGAAUGUGAAAAGUAUGAAAAUUUAUUCAACACUCAUGUAUUGAGACAUAAAAAUUUAACAUUUUUCUACACCUGUACAUGGCCUGUCUACACGCUACAGAUGAAAUAGAAUGCAGAGGGAAGUAUUGAUUGUGAUACUAACUUGUACACAAAACUAUAAGAGAGAGAGAAAAUGGCCAGAAAUAUCUUAUGUUCCAACUUUCGUUGCAUUAAGACAGUCCUCAUGUUUUUGGACAAGUGCUCUCCUUGACUUGGCCUUUUAAAAAUUUUCCCCAAGUCACAGUCCUGCAAUAUGCACAUGAUAUACUAUUCACUAGUGAUUUUCUUUUCAAUAAACAGAUGCCUCACCUCCCUAGCUAACAUCCAACAGAUUCUUCAACAGCUAACAGAAACAAGAAAUAUGCUGAGGUUCUGAACAAGGGAAGCCUCUAGCUAAACAUGAUCCAAGGCUCACAGGCUCGUGAGGAAGGGUGCCUGGGUGCAUGGUGACAGUGGCUAGGCUAGCUCUGGUCCCUUCUGCAUACCUCCAGUUGGCCGCCGCUGAUGCUAGACAGGGUUAAGUCUAGGGGAAACCUUAGAUUGGGUACAGAGCGAAAGGUUUAGACAGGGAUGCCUUCUUCCUCCUUCUUUUCAAAAUGGGUAAAAAAAAAAACUGUCAUAGGUAGAUAUCUUCAGCAGGGUAGACUGGAGCCUUGGCAGGUCUUCUACUCCAUUGUGUAGAAUAUAUAUUUAACUCUUUCAACACCCAAAUCUGACUGUACACCCUCCUCCUGGAAAUAGCUAAAAUUAUUAUUUUUUUAAGUUUGCCCCUUUAGAGGGAAUAAUUACAUGUGGUUAUCAAAACAGCAGUUUGGGCUAUGAAAACAACAAUGAGAAGCCUGUAUAACUGGGUAUUCCAAUCAGAGAAAACCAGCCUAGGGCCUGUCUUAAAAACUGCUUUUGUUUUCACAGGUAUAAAUAAAAUGCUUUGAUUUCUUAUGAUUCUUAUUACUAGAGAUCUCUGUUAGUUGACCUACAAAGUCUAUUUAUAAUACAACCUAAAAACUGUAAAAGGGUCAUUGUAAUCUGACUUGGCCAAAUAAAUCUGAGUGCGCUCUGCUUUACAAACAACUGUUUAAGUAUGCUUGUCCAUUUGCCUGUUGAAUCUGUAACCGGUUACAAUACCUAUAGCUGUUUUGUUUGAGCUUGACAAUAUUUUUUUUUUUUUUGUACUUUGAGAUUUCCAUGGAAAACAGUUAACACAGGUUAAAAUCUUUGUAUCCACAACUUAAGUUGGCUUACAGAUAAAGUGUCAUUAAAGUUAAGGACAUGCUUUCACCCAGGUUGCCAGUCAAUCCAAAUGAUGUUGAGAUUGGUUUUACAAAUGCAGUGCCUAUUGUCUACAAUAACUGGGAGUUUUUCACUGAUCAAAAAUAAUGGGCUGUUGGGGUAAUCAGCAUGGGCCAGGAGAAAAAUCAGCCCAGUUUGUGUGCAUGCUAGGUGCCACUUGGACUCUCCCCAGGGGUAACCAGUACAGGUGGGAAGAAGCGACCAGCCCCAACUCUACAAGCAGGUCACCACUACCUUCAGGGACCUGUAGCCAAUGUGGGCCAGCUACACCUUGAAGAAGCAUUGAGUGUCUGGAGAAGCCUGCCCUACACCCUACCACCUCCCUGGAAACUUGUAUUAGGAGAAAACUAGGUAACUGAUCCAUCCCCCUCCACCGUGGAUGGUGUGCUCGGAACCCCACAACCCACUUGUCUGGAGGAACCCAGGAAGAUGUCAAGAUGAAGGAACAAAAGGCUGUUUGGGCCUAUAGCUAUAGGCCCAAACAGCACAAGUCCAGGAGACACGGACAUGCACACCUGGAAUUUCUGAUGAUGGCAAUUGAAAUAAAGGAACUACUUCAUAAGGCUGUAAAAGAAAUCAGAUCAGCAGUAAUAUCUCAGGUAAAGAAGAAAUGAUUAACAUAAUAAAAUGGCUGAGCAUAUCCAAAGAAGACACAGAUUAAAAAAAAAAAAAAAGCAGCAUAGGAGAAUAAGGGAAACCUUGAAUGAACAAUAUACAGAAGAAAUGGAAUUCAUGAAACAGACUCAAAGAUAUACAAGAAAUUAAAAACUCUACUGAAAGCUGGCAAAACCAUCGGAAAGAAACUGAAGAUGGACUUUCAAAGCUUAAAGACAGGAUGGCAGCUAGUGACUAUAAAAGGACGCAUCUCUUAAAAAUAACAAGGAACCAGGAAAUAAUUCAAUGGUUGCAAGAUGAUGCAAAGGAAAAUAAUUUAAGAGUGACAGGCCAGCAAAAAAGCAAGUUAACACAAAUGACAUGCUGGGGAUUUAGCUCAGCAGCAUAAGCGCCUGCCUUGCAAGCGUACAGCUGUGAGUUCGAUCUCUGGUACUGUGGGAAAAAAAAAAAAGACUCCAACACAAAUGGCAUAAAGAGACUAUUUACAGAAGUGAUAGCAGAGAACUUCCCAAGCAUAUGUGAAGGACCUGACAUACAGACAAGUGAGGCAUAUUGAACUCCAACUAGCCAUAAACAAAAUAAAUCUAUACUCAGACAUGUGAUACUCAACAUCCCAGAAAUUCAGCACGAGAACAGAAUGUUAAAGACUAUUAGAGAAAAUAAACAGAUCACCUAUAAAGAAAAACCUAUUGGAAUCACAACAGAUUUUCUUACCCAAAUCAUCUACUCAAGAAUAGCUUGGAGUGAAGUAUUUCAAGUCCUGAAAGAAAACAACUUUCGGGGCUGGGGAUUUAGCUCAGUGGCAUAAGCGCCUGCCUUGCAAGCAGGCAGUUGUGUGUUCGAUCCCCGGUACCAGUAAAAACGAAAAAGACAAAAAAAAAAAAUAAUAAUAAUAAUAAAAAUAAAAUAAAAUAAAAUAAAAAAAAGAAAACAACUUCCAACCCAAAUUGAUGUACCUUGCAAAACUAUCUUUCAAAAUUAAUGGAGAAGUUGGAUACUUCUAUGACAAAGAACAACUAAAGGAAUACAUCACCACCAAACGAACCCUACAAAGACUACUUAAGAACAUUCUAGAGAGAGAGAGAAAAAUGACUAUUGUUCCAGGAACAGUAGCAGAGUGGGAUCAUUGAACCUGGCAAACAACUGAAUUGAGGGGAAAAACAGGGAGCUAACAGCAAGAAAAAGGCAUGGAAAAGACAAUCAGUGCAUGCUGGCCAUAACCAUUAAUGUACAUGGCUUCAAUUCACUAGUAAAGAGACACAGGCAGAGUGGAUCAAGAAACAAGAUCCAGGACUUCCAGGAAAAUGGUGGAACAGUGAGCCACAGAGAAAGAACCUUUACAAGUUUUGGUGUCUAGACCCUGGAAUAAAGCAACAUGAUGAUGAGGAGGAGAAAGGUGGGUCCCAUGGACACAGAAAGGAUCUGAACUGAGACUUGAAGUCCAUGGAGAGUUAAUUCAGGAAUUCAGCAAAAAACAAACAAAACAAAACAGGGACAGUGGACCUGCGGGACAGAACAGCAGCAAAGAAAUGUGGCCCCGACCCCCAAGCACUGAUGGAAGUCUUGCCAGUCCCAGGGGAGAAGCAGCAAAGAAAGAAUGUGGCCCGCAUUCCUGUGCCCUGGCCAAGGUCCUGCCGGCCCCUGGGGGAGAAGAGGCAAAGAAGCAGUGUGUCCCGGAUUCCUGGUAUGCUGGAAGAGGCCCUAACAGCCAGAGAGCAGCAGCACGGAAGCCAUGCAGCCUCCCUGUGUGCUGGUGUGAGCCCUGCUGGCUGAGGAGAAACAGCAAAGAAGCCGCCUCUACUUCCCACCCCCUCCCCCAAUCUGUAAGCAACUAGGAGCAACAUAGGCUGAGAUGAUAAUAACUGAAGUAACUGAAAUAGGGAAGUAACCUGACAUUUAUGUUGUUUGAUUGACUUUGCAAGCCUGGGGUUGGAUCUGGGGAACUAUUUAGAAGACACAAUAUGUAAUGCAGUAACAAUUGUGUAUUUCCUACUGUCCUAUUACUGUUUUGUUUCAUUUUACUGUUGUUUUACUCUCUUUAAAAUAAUAAUAAAAAUCCAUCAAUAUGCUAUAUAAAAGACAUUAACUCAAAAGAAAAUUCAUAGACUGACAGUCAAGGAAAGAAACAAUGCUCCACACAAUAGAGAACCAGAAAAAAGCAGGGGUAGCUUGCCCAUCAACUGCAGAAUGAGUAAGAUACGGAUUUUUACACAAUGGAAAACUAUAGAGAAGGAUAAUCACGAGGCUCUUGUAGGUAAAUGGAUGCAAUUUGUGAUCAUGCUCUUGGGUGAAAUGGUUUGGACUCACAUGGGUGAACAUCAUGUCUCUCUAGUAUAAGAAAUUGAAAUAGGGGCUGGGGGUUUAGCUCAGCGGCAUAAGCACCUGCUUUGCAACUGCAUGGUUGUGAGUUAGAUCCCUGGUACCAAUUUAAAAAAAAAAAAAACUGAAGUAGUGGGAUCCAAAAUGUAUAGCAGAUAUUGUGAAAACGCAAAGGGAGGAAAUGUCUAAAAAGGAAAGGUGAUAGCCAUCGUUAAUUUCCUUUUUUUGGGGGGGGGUACAGGGGAAUCAAACUCACGACUGUAUUACUUGCCAGGCAGGCGCUUAUGCCACUGAGCUGAAUCCCCAGCCCCACCAUCAUUAAUUUCAUAUCAACUUGUUUUAAAGCCCUGUAUCACUUUCAUUGGUUUUACUCUGCUUUGUUUGGUUUGAUUUUAUUAUAUUUGAUUGCAUGGGCAGCUAUUUUGAAGAUAACAAGAGGCAUUAUGGUAGCCAUUGUUGAUUUCCUAUUAUUCUGUUUGAAGUUCUGUAUUAUUUUCACUGUUUUGUUUUGAUUGGCUUCAUUCUGUUUUAUUUUGUUUGGUUUUAUUCUCUUAAAAAAUGUAACAAGAUCUAAAAAUUAUGAAAAAUAAUAUGCUGUUAUCAUCUAGUUCUCUUAAGGUCAUGCAAAAAAUUUGUUAAAAUAGCUACAUGGGACUGCUUAGGCUUAAGGAAACUGCUAGACAAGACUCCUUGGUAAAUAAAGGAGAAUCUGCCUGAAAAUAUUUUAUCCCAGUCUUUAUCCACUAAUGGGACCCCCAAUAAUUUCCAUAGUCUUAUGGGAGACACACUUCAAUGAACACUGAUUUUUUUCUUUUUUUGGACUUUUUGAGACAGGGACUCACUAUGCAGUUCAGGUUGGCCCUGACCUCACUUUGUGCCCAGGCUGGUCUCAAACUUGCAACAAUCCUCCUGCCUCAAAUUCCCAAGGGCUGGGAUUACAGGCAUGUGUUGCCAUGCCCAGCUGCUAAAUAUGUUACUGUAAUAUGUUUACAUUAGCUCCCAUUAAAGGGUUAAGUUGCCUUUGAGUAAAACAAAGAUUUUCUUAUAGAUGUUUCUGGUACAAAAGUAAAUUAAGAGAAAGGUUUCCACAUAGCUGUGACGUUCAUUAUUGCUGAUUUAUUGGUGUACUAAAUAUAUUCCUACCUUCUGGGUGUGCAGGUUUUCAAAGACAUAAAACUAGGGUUGCUUAUGUGACACUUUUUUUUGUACUGGGAAUUAACUUGGGACCUUGUGCCUUUUUUCUUUUAGAUGUAAGUAUCUGCCUUUCUCUUGUGCUUCUGCUUCUUGUGAUAAGAGGCAUAUGUCAAACCAGCAUGAGAUCAACAGUCAAAUGGUAGUUUUUUUUUUAAAAAAGAGCUUAUGUGAUGUGAAUGUUAUGUAUAUCACCACACCUGCAGAUACUCAGGUAUUGAGCAGUCCAGACAAUGUCACAUGCUUCUUUGAUAACAUCCUAUUACAGGGUCACAGGCUGGGCAUGGUGGUGCACGUCUUAAUCUCAGCAUUUAGGAAGGUUGAGGCAGGAGAACUGCUAUGAGUUCAAAGCUGACCUGGGCUACACAGUGAGUUCAAAUCCAGCCUAGAAUAUAUAGGGAGACCUUUUCUCAAAACAACAACAAAAGGAUAACACAUUAGAGAUUCAACUUCUAAAGCAACUAUAACUGAGGCUGCUAAACCCUAAACCAGCAUAACAACAAAUCUAUCAGACUCCUUCUACUGGGAUCCACUAGAUCGACCUUGUGAAGGGAGUUUGUAACUGCUGACUACAACAUGACCCCAGGGCUCCUUAGAUUAGCUCUCUGGAGAAGGCCUUUGACUGAAGUCUCCCCAACACUGAUCCUUCUCAGCUCAAAGCAGCCAGACAGAAACGACGACCCUUCACCACCAACCAUCGUUAAGGAUACCUCUUCAGAGGGGGAACAUCAUAGACAGCUAAGUUAGGUAAAAUAUUACAGGCAGCCAGAUAGUGCUAGGCCCUUGAGGGAGUCAAUGAAGAAGAUGAGAACACAUCAAAUUAUCGCUGGAAGUGAUCUGAAUAAGAUUAAAGACACAAUGCAGAUUUACUUACUUUUGUAAGGAUAAAAGUUUAAGAUUAUUGGUAUCAUGCAUUUGAGAUUUCCUGUAUAAAUAAACUAUGCCCUCAUUAGGGGUGAGCCAUUCUCUUCCACCCACAAGACUAAGACUACAACACUAAUGACAAGACUUGGUCAUUAUCGAACAAGGUUAAUGAUAUCAUCCAUAUGCCUUAUCUACUACUGAAUCAAUAUCAGCCAAGUGGCUAUACUUGUAAUCUUAUUGGUUGGUUAUGGCUUUCACCCAUGUUGUAUCUACCUCAUGAUUUUUCCUCUAUAAAACUUUCUCUGAGCAAUGGGCUCAUUGGUAACUCAUUCAGGACCCAUCCUAUCUCUCAGGAGCUAUUCCUAUUGCAAAAUAAAUUUUCCUAAUUAAAAAAAAGAAUGUGUUAAGUCAUCCCAGAUUCUACUAAUUCUACCUAUUCCCAAGUACUGAGGAUUCUAAAUUAUUCCUACAUUCCCUUUUUUUCUCUGGGUGUUGGGGAUCAAACCCUAGGCUAGGCACAUGCUAGGCAAAUCAUCUGCCAGUGAGCAUCACCACAGCCCACACUUAUUUUCUGAAACCAUCAUCAAAGACUCCAUGGUGUUUCAUACUUGAUUUCUCAAGCAAUUGCUCAAACAAUUAAUAUGCUGAGCAGAAGAACUAGAGACACUGAAGGGAAAGAAAGCUGAUAGCUAGCAGAAUGUUCAAAAGUGACUGCAAAUAUAUCAAAAUGACUUCUAAAAAAUUACACCCUUCCAAGCCAGGCUUACUGGUGCAUGCCUAUAAUGCCAGCACUUGGGAGACUGGCAGGAGGACUGCUAUGAGAGGCCAGCCUGGAAUACACAGUGAGGUUCAAAGUUAGCCUGAAUUACAUAGUGAGACCCUGUCUCACUGAAAACCAAAAUAAUAAUAAUAAUAAUAAUAAUUCCCUUACAAACAAUUUUCUUUCCACAGUGAAACUCCAUUUUCAAGACAAAGAGCCUUCGCUAGCAUCCUGAUCCCUAAGUACUGGUACUAGGGAACUCCUGAGUGAAUGACAAACCUCUGAACCACCUGUUUUGUCAGAUGUAUAAAUAAGGACGACUCAGAAAGUCAAUGUGUACACUACACAAAGGUGACAGUUCUAGGGCUCAGGGUGUAGCUCAAUGAAGUGUGUGCAGCUUUGGGUUGGAUCCCCAGCAUCUCACAGACACACAUGCAGAAAAAAAAAAUAUAUAUAUAUAUAUAUAUACACACACACAUACAUACAUGUAUGUAUAAAUAUACACACACGGUUUCAAAGGUCUUCACAAGUAAGAAAGUUGAGUGGUAGUUAUGCAAGUAUUUAUUUAACACUAUUCUUUGUAUCUUAGACAUUUUAUAAAUAUUAUUUUGUUCCUAUUUAAAAAAAAAAAAAAGCUGGGCAUGGUGGCACACUCCUGUAAUCCCAGCAUUUGGAAGGCUGAGGAAGGCAAAUCAUUGCAAGCCCGAGACCAGCCUGGACUACCAAGUGAGCGCAACGUCAGCCUGAAUCACAUAGUAAGCCUGUCUCAAAAACACACAAAAAAACAAAAAAACCACUAUAACUGGGCAUGGUGGUGCACACAUGUAAUGAGUUCAAGGCCAGCCUGAACUACAUAGUGAGAUCUUGAUCCUGUCCCAAAAAACAAACAAGAAAAAUCUAGCACUCUUAAGUGUCCUAAUACAUUACUCUUAGCUUUUAAAAUCUGUCUUUUGGGGGUGGUGCUAUGGAUUAAAAGAGGGUUACUUUACAAUUUAGCUAUGUUCUCAGCCCAUCUUAUUUUUAUUUUGAGAUACGUUUCACUCAGUCAUUCAGGUUGGGCUUGAACUUGUGAUCCUCUGGUCUAGCCUCACAAGUAGCAAGGAUUACAGGUGUGCCAAACUAGGCCUGGCUGCCUUUGCCUCCUUGAGGGCACUGCAGCUAGUGAAACCUAAUCAAAAGAAAUAAAUACAACUUCUGUAACAAAGAUAGGUGUCUUGAACGUGAUAAUAACUUAAUUCUGCCUUAACAUGAAAGUCUGUUCACUCAGAAAGGAAAUAAAACUAUCCUAGCAAGAACCUCCUUUCACUACUCAGCUGCUGGUUAUUCUUUGAGAUUAAUUCUGGACAACCAGGUUUUAAGAAUAAAAAUAUAGGAAAAUUGAGAGUCUCAAAUUCAGUUUAGAAAGUAGUUUCUUUUUGUUGUUUUUUGAGACCGGAUCCAGGCUAGCCUCAAACGCAUGGUGAUGCUCUUGCCUCAGCCUAAGUGCUGGGAUUAACUACAGGAAUGUGCCACUACACCAAGCCAAGGAAGUAAUCUCUUAAAUGCAUGGUUGUGGGGCUGGGGAUAUGGCUCUGUGGUAGUGGUUCAUCCAGUAUUUGUGAGGCCCUGGGUAUGAACCCUAGCAUAUACACAAGUGCUUGCUUUGGCAGUAUAGGCACUAAAGGUGGAAUGACACCGAGAUUAACAUAGCCCGUGCAUAAGGAUGACAUGAAGUUUAUGAAGCAUUCUGUAUUUUCAAAGAAAAAAAAGCACGGCUGUGCUUUCUUGGCUGUUGUUGUCACAUGAUAACUCAGUGAAAAAAUUAAUGAACAAUGUUCUUACUAUGGCAGAAAAAUAGAAGAGGCCAUUUCCUAAAGCUUCCUUUUACAGAUACUUGUUUCUUAGACUUCUCUAGCAGCAGCCUGCCACUAAAACAUCCCACCCAGAACUGAAGUAAAAUGGAAAAUGCUGGAUGCCCAUUCGUUGUCUAAUCUGAAGAAUCCAGGUUACUUCUGCAAACCUAACUGCUGGGCCUAGUGAUUAAUUAACUAGCCAAUGGUGAAAAACUGCUAUAGCUGGAGAAUGAAACAAUGACUAGUGUAAGACAUUCUUAAACCCGUGUGCUAGCACGUGCCUGUAAUCCUGGCACACUUUGAAGACUGAGGGGCCAGAAUGGGCUCCAUACAGAGUUCCAGACAGCCUGGAAUAACAGCAACAUUGUAUCCCCAAAAGGUGGGUGGGGGGGGUAGGAGUGAGUGGUGGCUCAACUGUGAAGGCCUUGGGUUCAAUGCCUAGUACUACAAAAUAAAAUAAAAUAGAAUAGAAUGAAGUAGGACAUUACAGCCUACUGCAUAUAACCAAUAUUCACAUGGCUGUGUAGGUGUUUCUUACAACCCCACUGGUAGGUUUAUAGGUCAAGCCCUAGGAGUGUAAAGGGAAUUUUUUUUUUUUUUUUUUUUUUUUUUUGUCUUUUUCCUUUUUAUCGGUACCAGGGAUCGAACUCACGACUGCCUGCUUGCAAGGCAGGUGCUUAUGCCGCUGGGCUAAAUCCCCAGCCCC